RNAcentral lists this transfer RNA (74 nucleotides) under Candidatus Bathyarchaeota archaeon. RNAcentral describes it as "tRNA-Trp". It matches the Rfam family "tRNA". Rfam says of the family: Transfer RNA (tRNA) molecules are approximately 80 nucleotides in length. Their secondary structure includes four short double-helical elements and three loops (D, anti-codon, and T loops). The record is from RNAcentral. Lineage: Archaea; Thermoproteati; Candidatus Bathyarchaeota.
GGGGCCGUAGCUUAGCUGGUUAGAGCGCGGGACUCCAGAUCCCGCGGUCGUGGGUUCAAAUCCCACCGGCCCCA